AAACCAGCACCUCAAGUGGUCAGGAUGAUUAUUGGGCCUAAAGCAUCCGUAGCCGGCUCUGUAAGUUUUCGGUUAAAUCUGUACGCUUAACGUACAGGCUGCCGGGAAUACUGCAGAGCUAGGGAGUGGGAGAGGUAGACGGUACUCGGGAGGAAGUGGUAAAAUGCUUUGAUCUCUCGAUGACCACCUGUGGCGAAGGCGGUCUACCAGAACACGUCCGACGGUGAGGGAUGAAAGCUGGGGGAGCAAACCGGAUUAGAUACCCGGGUAGUCC
Molecule: ribosomal RNA, 274 nt
Filed under: uncultured bacterium
Lineage: Bacteria
Description: partial 16S ribosomal RNA
Rfam family: Archaeal small subunit ribosomal RNA
Source: RNAcentral